UUCACGAACAAAACGAAGAAAGUGGCGCCGCGUCGGAGGUCUGCCCGGCGGGCAUUGGGACGGCGGCUCCCGCUCGCCUCCCGCCGGACCGGGUGUUGUGUCAGCGGCGGAUGCGGCAGACGUAUUGGUUUGUCCUGCCGUGGCAGAGCUGGCUGUUGUGGCUGGUGGCAAUGGCGGCGGUGACCUCCCCUCUCCAUCCCCGUCCGCCAUUGUCGGCCGCCUGCCGCCGAGGUCGACGACUUCCGCCGUAUCCCCGUGAGCGUCGGAUUUUUCGAAGAGAUCAUCGACGACAGCCACAGCAUCGUCUUUUCCUCCGUCGGCCCGAGUACUGCGUUGGCAUCCUCUCCUUCGUGAGCAAGGACCAGUUCGACCCCAGCUGUUCCAUCGUCAUGCACAGCAAGCUGUACAAGUCGGCAGGAGAAGGCAGUUACCUGCUGGGUCUCAACAGACUUUCUGGCCCACAACUUCAGUACCUCAAUAUAUGCUUACAGUUAAGCUCUAAGCUGAGAGCAGUUAACUGACUAAGGCAGUGAAUUCUGGCCAGAAUACUUUUGUUCCAGGUCCAUCUUUUCGGGACCCCUACACUGGGGCUAAUGCAUAUGUCCCUGGGCAAUCAGCCUCUUCAACUGGAAGGAAUGCUGACAUUUGACACAACUCAGUUCGAGGGAAUUCUAAAGAAGCUCUCUGAAUUCAAUGCAACGCUUUCAUCUAAUUUGUUAAUUUCAAAAAACAUUUGUUGGUGACUUUUGUUUCUUCUGAUGCUUCCAUAUAAUUUGGUAAUUUCAAAAAUCAUCUGUUGGUGACUUUUGUUUCUUCUGAUACUUUAGUGUUCACGUAAUCAAAUCAGUUAGAUCUUUCCCCCAUUAGGUUGAUUAGAACUGGGGAUUCGCCUUCAAGUCAGCUGGAUUUGGCUUAUUGUUUGCUCUCAUCUGUACUAAUCGAUUUUCUGCCUGAACAAAGCCCCUUAUCACUAUGUGGUACUCUUUUUUUUUUCAAUGACCACCUUACCCAUACCAACUUCUGAAAAUUUCAGCAUCCAAUUUUCAUGGAAACCUUACCCAUAUGGCCUUCUUUAAAUUCAGCGUUCAGUAACUCCUUAAGAAGUGUGAAUCCUGGGCAUGGAUUUCAUAUGCAACGGGGAUCGUGCACUGGAUUGAAUCUCACUUCGUGUGAUCCUAUUCAAGGUUGGAAUACGAUUGGGAUAUGGUGGGGAGGGAGAUAAUGAUGAGUGAGAAUAGAGGGAAGGUGACAACUGACAAACAAGGUCUAUGAGAGAUCAAUCAAGAUGGAGGCAGAGCUGUGGGCAGUAGAGAUGAAAUGAUGGCAGAGCUUGCGCAGGUUCGCCUUGACAUCCAGAGGUUGGGUGUAGCAAUGCAAGAACUCAUGAGUCAGGUCCAGGGGUUCACCCAGGAUUUGGCUCGAUCAGCAGUGGACUUGCAGCAAGUGGCUGCAUUGAAAGCUGAAAUUCAGGAGAUAAGGCAUGAAACACAACAUUUGAGAUCUGGCAUUGAGGUUGACAAUAAACGAUAUGCAGAAAGCUAUGAGCAGGGACAAGAUAUGCACAAGAAAUUGAUUUCAGUGGCUUCUAAGUGGAGAAGCUCCGAGCUGAGGCUGACAAGAGGUCACGAGCUGCUGUUUCUGGAGGCAAUGAAGGUACUUAACAAACUCUGGGUGCUUAAUUCCCUUCGCAAUUCAAAUCCUACAGUGUGAACUGUUGAAAGCCCAUCUAACUCUGUAAAUUAGAAUUCUUGAAUCCCUAUAUAGCAUUAAAUAUCUGUUUCUCAUGAUGGGAUUUAGGAUUGGUAUGUCUAUCGAUCAGGUCUUCUAAUUCCACUCCUGGGAGGACUGAGUUACCUUCAGUACUCGUAAGACUUGUGACCUUAUGAAUCGUUAUACAAAAUACCAUGUCUGAAAAUGGAUUUGCCUAUGUUUACAGUGAAGUGUAUGAGAAUAUUAAGGC
Molecule: RNA transcript, 1960 nt
Organism: Oryza brachyantha (malo sina)
Lineage: Eukaryota; Viridiplantae; Streptophyta; Magnoliopsida; Poales; Poaceae
Gene name: protein FLX-like 1
Exons: 7
Source: RefSeq, a predicted model, not a curated record